ACUGAGAAAGACCUCAACGGAUGACCAGGU
RNAcentral lists this non-coding RNA (30 nucleotides) under Mus musculus (house mouse). Lineage: Eukaryota; Metazoa; Chordata; Mammalia; Rodentia; Muridae. The record is from RNAcentral.